This 1034-nucleotide ribosomal RNA is filed under the name Salmonella enterica subsp. enterica serovar Enteritidis. RNAcentral's name for it is "partial 23S ribosomal RNA". It matches the Rfam family "Bacterial large subunit ribosomal RNA", at positions 117 to 1191 of the family's 2925-position model. The record is from RNAcentral. Lineage: Bacteria; Pseudomonadati; Pseudomonadota; Gammaproteobacteria; Enterobacterales; Enterobacteriaceae.
AAUGGGGAAACCCAGUGUGACUCGUCACACUAUCAUUAACUGAAUCCAUAGGUUAAUGAGGCGAACCGGGGGAACUGAAACAUCUAAGUACCCCGAGGAAAAGAAAUCAACCGAGAUUCCCCCAGUAGCGGCGAGCGAACGGGGAGGAGCCCAGAGCCUGAAUCAGCAUGUGUGUUAGUGGAAGCGUCUGGAAAGGCGCGCGAUACAGGGUGACAGCCCCGUACACAAAAGCGCAUGUGCUGUGAGCUCGAUGAGUAGGGCGGGACACGUGGUAUCCUGUCUGAAUAUGGGGGGACCAUCCUCCAAGGCUAAAUACUCCUGACUGACCGAUAGUGAACCAGUACCGUGAGGGAAAGGCGAAAAGAACCCCGGCGAGGGGAGUGAAAAAGAACCUGAAACCGUGUACGUACAAGCAGUGGGAGCACAGGUUUACCUGUGUGACUGCGUACCUUUUGUAUAAUGGGUCAGCGACUUAUAUUCUGUAGCAAGGUUAACCGAAUAGGGGAGCCGGAGGGAAACCGAGUCUUAAUUGGGCGUUAAGUUGCAGGGUAUAGACCCGAAACCCGGUGAUCUAGCCAUGGGCAGGUUGAAGGUUGGGUAACACUAACUGGAGGACCGAACCGACUAAUGUUGAAAAAUUAGCGGAUGACCUGUGGCUGGGGGUGAAAGGCCAAUCAAACCGGGAGAUAGCUGGUUCUCCCCGAAAGCUAUUUAGGUAGCGCCUCGUGAAUUCAUCUCCGGGGGUAGAGCACUGUUUCGGCUAGGGGGCCAUCCCGGCUUACCAACCCGAUGCAAACUGCGAAUACCGGAGAAUGUUAUCACGGGAGACACACGGCGGGUGCUAACGUCCGUCGUGAAGAGGGAAACAACCCAGACCGCCAGCUAAGGUCCCAAAGUCAUGGUUAAGUGGGAAACGAUGUGGGAAGGCCCAGACAGCCAGGAUGUUGGCUUAGAAGCAGCCAUCAUUUAAAGAAAGCGUAAUAGCUCACUGGUCGAGUCGGCCUGCGCGGAAGAUGUAACGGGGCUAAACCAUG